Molecule: ribosomal RNA, 451 nt
Filed under: uncultured bacterium
Lineage: Bacteria
Description: partial 16S ribosomal RNA
Rfam family: Bacterial small subunit ribosomal RNA
Source: RNAcentral
GUGGGGAAUAUUGGACAAUGGGGGGAACCCUGAUCCAGCCAUGCCGCGUGUGUGAAGAAGGCCUUUUGGUUGUAAAGCACUUUAAGCGAGGAGGAGGCUACCGAGAUUAAUACUCUUGGAUAGUGGACGUUACUCGCAGAAUAAGCACCGGCUAACUCUGUGCCAGCAGCCGCGGUAAUACAGCGGGUGCAAGCGUUAAUCGGAUUUACUGGGCGUAAAGCGCGCGUAGGUGGCCAAUUAAGUCAAAUGUGAAAUCCCCGAGCUUAACUUGGGAAUUGGAUUCGAUACUGGUUGGCUAGAGUAUGGGAGAGGAUGGUAGAAUUCCAGGUGUAGCGGUGAAAUGCGUAGAGAUCUGGAGGAAUACCGAUGGCGAAGGCAGCCAUCUGGCCUAAUACUGACACUGAGGUGCGAAAGCAUGGGGAGCAAACAGGAUUAGAAACCCUUGUAGUCC